RNAcentral lists this long non-coding RNA (203 nucleotides) under Elaeis guineensis (African oil palm). Its description in RNAcentral is "long non-coding RNA (EGUI_LNC068323)". The record is from RNAcentral. Lineage: Eukaryota; Viridiplantae; Streptophyta; Magnoliopsida; Arecales; Arecaceae.
AAAAAGAGGAAGGAGUUCUGAGACUAACCUAGGCGAUUCGAAGAAGUACGAAGGUGCGAAAAGGGGGACGGCUCGAGGAACGCCUAAGGCUGGGAAGGGCGCUGAGAAAAAUCGAAGUUCUCAGGAAGAAGAAGGAUGCCAGAACGAGACCGUCGGAUAGAGCGGGACUCUUGGAGGAGGGGUGCGGGUUUAAAUAGGCCCUG